UCCUACGGGACGCAGCAGUGGGGGAUAUUGCACAAUGGGGGGAACCCUGAUGCAGCGACGCCGCGUGGGUGAAGAAGCGCCCCGGCGCGUAAAGCCCUGUCAGCAGGGAAGAAGAAGGACGGUACCUGACCAAGAAGCCCCGGCUAACUACGUGCCAGCAGCCGCGGUAAUACAUAGGGGGCAAGCGUUAUCCGGAUUUAUUGGGUGUAAAGGGUGCGUAGACGGAGAAACAAGUUGGUUGUGAAAUCCCUCGGCUCAACUGAGGAACUGCAACCAAAACUAUUUCCCUUGAGUGUCGGAGAGGA
This 305-nucleotide ribosomal RNA is filed under the name uncultured bacterium. RNAcentral describes it as "bacterial SSU rRNA". It matches the Rfam family "Bacterial small subunit ribosomal RNA", at positions 337 to 658 of the family's 1533-position model. The record is from RNAcentral.